AACGUAGGUGGCGAGCGUUAUCCGGAUUCAUUGGGCGUAAAGAGCUUGUAGGUGGCGGCGUAAGUUGGACGUGAAAUCGCCCGGCUCAACCGGGCGGGGUCGUUCAAUACUGCGCGGCUGGAGGAGGUCAGAGGGAAGUGGAAUUCCUGGUGUAGCAGUGAAAUGCGUAGAUAUCAGGAGGAACACCCGUGGCGAAGGCGGCUUCCUGGGGCCAUCCUGAUACUGAGAAGCGAAAGCUAGGGGAGCGAACGGG
This 253-nucleotide ribosomal RNA is filed under the name uncultured bacterium. RNAcentral's name for it is "partial 16S ribosomal RNA". It matches the Rfam family "Bacterial small subunit ribosomal RNA", at positions 524 to 776 of the family's 1533-position model. The record is from RNAcentral.